AGUGAACGCUGGCGGUAGGCCUAACACAUGCAAGUCGAACGGCAGCAUAGUAAGAGCUUGCUCUUACGGGUGGAGAGUGGCGGACGGGUGAGGAAUAAUUCGAAAUAUACUUUUUAGUGGGGGAUAACGUAGGGAAAAGUACGCUAAUCCCGCAUACGACCUACGGGUGAAAGCAGGGGAUCUUCGGACCUUGUGCGAUUGAAUGAGCCGAUGUCGGAUUCGCUAGUUGGCGGGGUAAAGGCCCACCAAGGCGACGAUCCGUAACUGGUCUGAGAGGAUGAGCAGCCACACUGGAACUGAAGCACGGUCCAGACUCCUACGGGAGGCAGAAGUGGGGAAUAUUGGACAAUGGGCGCAAUCCUGAUCCAGCCAUACCGCGUGGGUGAAGAAGGCCUUCGGGUCGUAAAGCCCUUUUGUUGGGAAAGAAAAGCAGCAGGUUAAUACCCCGCUGUUCUGACGGUACCCAAAGGAUAAGCACCGGCUAACUUCGUG
RNAcentral lists this ribosomal RNA (492 nucleotides) under uncultured bacterium. RNAcentral describes it as "partial 16S ribosomal RNA". It matches the Rfam family "Bacterial small subunit ribosomal RNA", at positions 29 to 507 of the family's 1533-position model. The record is from RNAcentral.